UUGCAAGAGAAGAGCUGUAGAACGACACCACUGCAACAUCGGAGAAUCAAACCCGGCAACACAGAGCCACCAAAGAAGGACUAGAAGAUCACACUGCAACGGAAUACCAUCCGAAAGUUGAACCCAAGAACUGAAACCAAACUCAUACCAAAGCACCCAGACAACCGAAAACACUAUCCAAUCCAGAAGAGCAAGGAAACACAAACGCCUCUAGAGCAAAACCAACACCGCAAAGAAGU
RNAcentral lists this long non-coding RNA (239 nucleotides) under Eutrema salsugineum. Its description in RNAcentral is "long non-coding RNA (ESAL_LNC001262)". Lineage: Eukaryota; Viridiplantae; Streptophyta; Magnoliopsida; Brassicales; Brassicaceae. The record is from RNAcentral.